GGCCAGUUAGCUCAGUUGGUUAGAGCAUGGUGCUUCUAACACCAAGGUCCAGUGUUUGAUCCCUGUACUGGCCA
Molecule: non-coding RNA, 74 nt
Organism: Cynocephalus volans (Philippine flying lemur)
Lineage: Eukaryota; Metazoa; Chordata; Mammalia; Dermoptera; Cynocephalidae
Source: the annotation of a RefSeq genome assembly